This is a non-coding RNA of Schizosaccharomyces pombe (fission yeast), 791 nucleotides long. The record is from the annotation of a GenBank genome assembly. Lineage: Eukaryota; Fungi; Ascomycota; Schizosaccharomycetes; Schizosaccharomycetales; Schizosaccharomycetaceae.
UUGAAUGAUGUGAAACCCACUGCUCGUUUCAACCACUCCACUAAUUUCACCGGGUUUCAAGGCAAACGCAGCGUCUUCAAACGGUUUUUGCAUUUCGUCUCUUCCAAAUUCGCCUCUACACAUAGUGUUAGUAAAAAUCGUUCCAGUUGAAAAUCAGACUACACUUGGCAAACCAACAAGAGCUUAUCACCAAGUGUGGCACCACCAUAUACUGUCGGUCUUGCGACUCGUAUUUAAUUACAGUAUAUCAAAAUACAUACAAUUCACCUCCGCGACGAGCGGAGCUACAAUCCGACUCUUUCAUGGCUAAAUCAUGCAUGCUUACAGAGCCACUCUUUAGCAAUUGUUCAUAGUGUUCAGCCAGCUUCCUCGCCUCCUCCUUGCUCCUAGUAAUGUGCUCCUCCUUCCAUGAGCUGGGACGACGGCUUUCUCGAUGCUUUACGAGUAAAUGGCUAGCACGAAUCUUGGGUGAAUUGCUUGCCUCGGUGGGUGUAACUGACUCCUGCAACUCGUUUGCAAUGAACUUUUUCAGGGCAGCCAUAUCAGUGGCAGCCGGAGGCUCCCAUAAAGACUCAUGCGUCUCAGUAUUAAAGAAGUAGGGACGAUUUCUGGAGCGUGAAAUCUUGACAAUCCAUGGUUUGGGUAACCCAGUAUUAGACAUUUUUUUUACCACAACGCUUCUUCAAAAAAUGGAUUCACUAAGACAGAAAAAAUCCUCAACUAUAAAUUACAAGCAAAACACGUUCAAUCUCUGCAAUUUGAAGCUUGUUUAUUUGCUUUGUUUAGAGUCA